Molecule: long non-coding RNA, 7686 nt
Organism: Triticum aestivum (bread wheat)
Lineage: Eukaryota; Viridiplantae; Streptophyta; Magnoliopsida; Poales; Poaceae
Exons: 4
Source: RefSeq, a predicted model, not a curated record
CCACGCCCCUCCCUGCCCCGCCGCCGCCGGCCGCCACCGCCGUUGCCUCUCCCCACAUUCGCUCCUCCUCCCCCCCGCAUCUCCCUCCCUCCCACACAGCCUCCUCUCUCCCUCGCUCGCUCCUCAUCUGGCGACGGUGGCGGCGGCUCCCGCGCCCACGUUAUUCCUCCCACCAACCAUGGCGCUCCUUCCCAUCGCCAUGGACGAGCUUGAGCUCCAGGUGCUCCUUCUCCGCCCAAAAGCCCAAGGGCUUUGCGGGGCGGCAAGGGGCUCAGACUCAACCCGCCAACCCUAGCUGCCCCACGCCGCCGCCGGCUCCUCCUCCCUGCCUGCCGGAUCCCGUCGUCCGCAUCCCCGGCGUCGUCGCCGUUGCCAUCAUCCUCGCGUGCACUCGGCAGGAGAAGUGCAGCUCUCCUCUUAGCCCGUCUCAGUUCUCUCUUGCUCUCUCAGUCUACUUUCCAAACCCUAACCCUAACCCCUCUCCUCUUCUUCAUUAACUGUCGGCGAUUGGCAAGCGGAGCACGAGUCGAGUUGCGCCACCCCCGAUUCUGCAGUGCGCCCGACGACUACUUUUGCAACAGCAGCGGUGGCAAGCCUUGGACUGGCUCGGGACACCAGAAGCGGGCAAUGAAGGCCAUUGCCAGGUCGUUAUGCUGGUUUUCUCUCCCUGUUGAUUGUUUAGCUCGACAAAAAUUGUCACAUUAUCAAGAGGCUCCAAGCGGUGUCACGGUCAGGAACCUUUUUUCCAGACAGGAAGAGAUGGUCAGGUAAUCAACCAUAUCUUGGAUUGUGUUUUUUGUGGUUUGUGGCAAAGUAAUACUCUUCUUUUCAAAUGUAUGGACUAAUAGGAGUCAUAAGUUGUACCUCAUUUCUGAUACAAAACUGAACUGGUUAUUUGGUUAUGAGAGACAUGUCAUGUGUCUGGUAUUCAGUGACAAGUCUGAAUGAAUAUAUUGAUCUGAGCAAGUAUUCAGUCCAUAUACUUGCGUUGUUGAUAUUUGAUUUUUAUUUUCUCAAUUAUAUGGACGUGUUAGUUCUUUAAAGAUCUCUCAGCUAUAAAAUUGUUCUAGGCUACUUAGGAUCCAACAAAUACUAGAGCGUAUAUACGCUGAAUUCUAUCCUUUCAGGUUAUUUCUGUUCCAUCCACUUCCAUUGUUGCAGGAAUCUUUUAGCGUUUGAUACUAUAUGGCAGAAUCUAUGCGUGCUAUUUCUGAUAAAUUUGAUCCCCCAUUUGUGGCUUAUUUCUCUAAUAGUUGCAUUCAGGGCUAUGCUAAAUCGAGUGAUGCUGCCGUUUAGUUGGCCAUUUGUUCUGGUUUACUUACAAGAUGAUACAAUGAUUUAAAUGGACCAUGCAAAUUUGUAUGAGCAGGCCUAAGAACUGUUCAUUCAGUUCCAAGACUGGAUUUGGUAUAAUCUUGGAUUGGCAACCAUUAUUCUGUUCCUAAUGUUCUGGUUGCCAUCAUGUCAUUUCCAAAUUACAAUAAGGUGAGCAUUGUAGGCUGAGAGAGAUCUUCUGAUAUUUUCAAGCCACAUCUUCACAAGGUUGCAAGUGACACACAGUUCGAAGAUUGUUGAUAUCUGAAGGCUGAGGCAAAAUUUUCAGUAACUACAAAGAGGGUACCAGCAUCAUCAAAUAAGAACAGUUCACCAGGUAAUUUUAUAUGUUUCCUAUAAAUGGUUUGAUCGACAAUCAGAGCUCUACAAUUAAUUGCACUACAUGUACCAUGUGCUUAUAUUUGCAUUGCUUAAGAACUAUUAUGAAUGCUAAAAGUCUUUUAUCUAAACCACAACAAGCCAAAUAAGUAAAUAGCAUCCAUAUGGUACCAUGUGACAUUUUUUUGUUCUACCUUGCUAUGCAUUGUGUACAAUUGUCUUUAAUUAACACGUAAAUAGCAUCCACAUGAUCAAAUCAACUGAGAGGGUGCUUGGAUACGUUUUAGUCCCAUGACUAAAAGUAGUGGGGCUAAAACUUGCUAGCCUCACCCAUGCUUGGAUCCAAAUACUAAAGAGACUAAAAUCAAGUUAUUGAGCAUUUGUUAUCCUCCAAACCCUCCAAUCCAGAACUCACAUGUGUUAAAGGAGAGGAAUUAAAUGAGGAGAGAGAGGGCUAAUACAUAUUUUAGUAGGUUUCCUAUGACUAAAUUUUUUUAGCCUCAAGACUAGUCCUAGCCUCUCUUUAGUCAGGGGUGCUUGGAACUUUAGCCUCUAAAAGAGACUAUUUUUAGUCAGACUAAAAAUAGUCCCUUGGAUCCAAGCACCCUCUGAGCUUAACUCACAUAUAUAAAUGCCGUCUUUCUUUUUGUCUAUCAAUCUGCGGUGAUAUUUGGUUAGUACUCAGAAAAGUGUCCAGUUUGAUCCAUUAUAUAACAAACUUGAUUUGUUUGAUCCUUGUGUGGUGGUAACUGUCCAUUACCACUGGUUCUAUAAACCAUAUUCUUGUUCAUGUAAUCAAGUUAACUCAGAAAUGAUGGACCCAUUCCAGAUAAAUAAAGAAGCACAUGAGCUUUUAAAGCUUACAUUGAGCAAGACCCGAGUCAAUCUAACCUACUGUCCACUCUCCAUUUGUGCAUCUUAUAUAUAGAUGCUUAUUUAUUUACAAAUCUUCUGGAUUAUUUGACUACCAGAUAUUUCAAUGUCAACUUUGAUGCAUGAAUGUAGAGUAUAUCAGAAAGAAGGUAAAGACGUGUAUGCAACACAUUUUAAGUUGUUAAAUAGUUUGGUUCUUCUAGCAGUAAGAUUUUGUUCCUUUUACAAGGCUAUUUUUGCAAGCUUAUUUGUUUAACUGGAGGGCCUAAUUAUGAUUUUGUUUCUUUUUAUUUGUAAUUGAGGUUCAUGUAUAUUGGAGGUGGAGGAGCACAACAUGAAACAUCGACGUCCUUCCCAAGCACUCACCCCUCACUAGGUACAAUCUUGCACAUUAUUUUGUUACUACUGGUAUAUUGUCAAGUGAUGUCAUUUUGUGUGUAUUUUAGAACCAAAGUAAGGUCACUCAACGUGCCAGGCGAGCACCCUAGCCUUGAAGUCUCACAGCCUAGGCACUGUAGCCUCUUGCGCAGCGGUGGCCAAGAGUGGACGCUUGCUUUGCUUUCUCUUCCGUUCCCCGCCGGCCAUAUUGAUUUGCUUUCCUAGGUUCUGUUAUACUAGAUGUUUAUUCACCUGUUGUGAUAGCAUAUCUGAUUGUUUAUAUUGUUUGACAUGUAUUCCAUGCACGGAGUCACUUGGUUGUUUGAUGUGUUCGUGCUCGUCAGCGGGACGGUGAAAGGCGCAACUCCGAUGCGGUUCCUCGCUGGUUGGACGGCGUUCAAGCGCAACCCCGACGCGCACUGAGUACUGCCUCGGCUACAAACUCCCUCGGUGAGCUCCAUCUUCCUAUGGGACAUGGCCAUGGCUAUAUUGAUGUGGGUCUCGUUUGGUUGAUGCUCUAUGCCCUACUCAUCCAUCGGUUCCUACUUGAGCUAUGUAGUUGUGGAUCCAUGCCAUUUAGAGUUUGCAGGCUGUUGUUCAUGUUUAGUUGCUAUCAUGGGAGCUCAUGUGAUGCUCUGGUUUACAUGUGGAUGCACUGGUCCUAUAGCUAUGCUCCUGGAUUUGCUAGAUUGAUCGGUGGCGUUCGUGCUAGGGCGAUGAUGAUUAAUCAUGGCUGAAAUAAGUGUGCCGUUGAGCAAUCAUGGCACCUGUGCGUAUCAGGUUGGAUCCUCCCUCUUGUCUCUAGAAUCCCUUUUGAUCCUGUGAUACUUGUUGUUGUCCUUGGAUGGUCAUUCUUGUUGAGUGAUAACCAGGGCAGCUCCAUUGUAUAAACAGAUUGAUCUGGUGAUAAGAGAUGACGGGGUAGGUUAUAUGAUCGAGGAAAGGCGAAUCUGAGACCACUGUGCAAUGAACCCUGAACCCUUUCUAUUUGUAUCCCCUUGUUAGAGUAUGAAGCAAAAUGGAGCUCUCCCGUUCAUUUGGAUUCUGGACCGUUCGAUCGUUUUCCUGAUGCGAUUCCGACCGUCGGAUCUCGGGCUCGGCUCACGUGAGGCGUUGGAUAUUUACCAAAUCGUUGCGAGCCGUUGGAUAAAAUUCCAAUUGAAACAAAAUGGAAAUACCAUGCCCCCAUCAGGGCAUCUGUGUCAUUUCGUGUACCGGCUAUAAAAUGACCGCGGCUUCCUGCAAUGAAAACCUAGUGGCCGCCUCCUCUCUCACUCGCUCCUGCAGCUGCCUCCCUCCCUCCCUCCCACACAGGUGGCUUCCACCAACCACGGCAGUAGCGGCCACAGAGGAGGGCAGCAGACCAGCGGCGCCGGCGAUGGCGUCCGUGGCAGCUAUGCAAUGAACCCCGAACCAUUUUUAUUUGUAUUUAAAGGGGUUGCUUAUUUAUGCUCAAGUGGUGUUCGUGCUAGGGCGAUGAUGAUUACCUUGGCUGGAAUUAUUGUGCCUUUGAGCAAUCAAGGCACCUGUGGGUAUCAAGUUGGAUCCUCCCUCUUGUCUCUAGAAUCCUUUUUGAUCAUGUGAUACUUAUUGUUGUCCUUGGAUGGUCAUUCUUGUUGACUGAUAACCAGGGCAGCUCUACUAUAUAAAGAGAUUGAUCUGGUGAUAAGAGAUGAUGGGGGUAGGUUAUAUGAUCGAGGAAAGGUGAAUCUGAGCCCACUAUGCAAUAAAACUGCAGCUACCUCCCCUAAUGUGUGUAGUAUUGAAGGCAAAAAACAACUUUUCAUGUCUUUCUACUUUAAAAUUCCAAAAAGGUUCAUUCUUCCUUUGCUGGUUACUUAACCAUGAUUUUUGUUUUGCUUUGGUUCUGGUUGAGAUACUAUAGGUUGUUUAUAUAUGAAAAUAACAAACACUUGUAGUUUUGUAUGCCUCAGCUGUUGCUUAGGAUCCAGUGUUGUAGUGCUUUGCCUAAUUGCAAAUAACUCUAAUCAAUAAUAGUGGUUCUUUCCUUCUGAUUUGAACUGAGAGAACCACAUCUUAAGGUGACCCCAUUUUUCUAUGCCUCAUGCUCGUGCUGCUCUAUGUUCCCUUUAAAAAAUUCUUGCUAGCAUUUUGGGUUGGUUUCUGCUCUAUGUUCCCUUUUAGCGUUUCUUUCCGUUAGUAAAGGAGUAAAGCAUUUUUGUUGUCCUAUGACUAUGUUCAUGAUUUUUCUUUGCAGACAAUAAAAGAGGUCUUGGCUACAGGGAUGAGACCCACAUGUUUGGGAACAUAUUUUUUCCCUGUAGAAUACCUUUUAUUUCAGCUUCAUUAGAUGCACAUAUUCACGAGAUUACAUUUAGCUAGAUUUAGAUUUUUCUGUGAUGUUUUCUUAGGUAUGCUUGCUCUUCCCAAAUGCGUUGAUGGUUUAAUGAAAUGCUCUUUGCACAUAAGUACUUUAACUUAUCGUAAUUAGAUAGGAUGUAUGGAAAUCAACAUUUGGAAUACAAAAGCAUUGAAAGAAAUGUUCAAUAUCUCUCAUCCAAAGUUAUGGCUGUAGUACUUUUCAGAAUUCUUUAGCUGGCUACUUUCUCUUUUCUCUUUACUCCUCACUUUGCUAUUACGUCUUACAUGGAAAAUAUAGGGAAAUAUCUGAAAAAUAAGGAAGUAACAAACCUAGGUAUGGCUACAAACUGAUGUUAGGAAAUUGUGUAGAUUCUGGUCAUUGGUCGGUUCAGGUUCUUGCAUUUUUAUUUUUAUAGUACAAAACAACUCAGUGAGUUGCAUCCAUUGCAAAUAACAUACCCACUAGCCAGAUCCUUAUAUUUUUAUUUUCAAGUCAUUUGCAUUUCCAUUAUUUAUCUUCCUGAUGUAAGAACUUUAGUGUUUCAGUUGAUUUUUUAAUAUAAAGCACUCUUCAGGUUGCCUUCAAGAAGCUUUAUAUUGUAUAUGUUUGUUUUUUCUAUUUCAGCAAGCAUUGUAUGUACUCUUUUUCCUUUUAGUAUUAUCUAAUAGAGAAAAUCUUAGAGGUUAAGUAAGUGAACUCUUCAUCCCUUUCCUUGAGAUGUGAUUUAGCUUUACAGUUUAUUUUUUUUGUGAUUGGUGGACAAAAGCUUGCACUUGGCGCUUUGUAUUCUACUAACAGUGCAAGACCCAUACUAAUUUUCUUUUAGAGGUAACACUCUUAGUUUAUUCAUAGUGAGCAGUGUGACUUUACAUAGCAUUUACAUAAUUGAUAAUUGAUUAUAUAAAAUACAUUCUUGAAUAGGUUAUUCAUAUUUUUGUUUUUUUGCCCACACUUCCGUUUAGGGAAGCAUGAUCAAUCGUAUUUGUUACAGACAUCAUUUUGAAAUGUUUUGUCCUCUCAAGUUUAGUAUUAUUCACGAGUCAUAGUGUUUCUCUUUGGUUUGUUAACCGUAGUGGUGAUGUCAGCCGGUGAGCUUACUCUACCUCCGCUCUAUGACACAUAUUAGGACUAUGAUUUUAAUUUUGGUUUUCUUCUUUCCGUUUCGUCUUGCCAUUAUGUAAUUAUGUCAACAGGUCCUGCAGUGGGAACCAAAUGGUAGUUUGAUUUGAAUCAUGCUUGGUAAAAUCAAUAUGUAGUAAAUGUUAGUUUUGAGUUUGUGAACAACCAGAUCAUUUCUGUGGAUGCCUUGCGCAUAUAUAAUUAGCUCUCAUGUUGAUUUAGCUCAUGCAUUGGUCUGUAUAAUUGUUGUAGGUGAUUUGUGAGGAUAGCCCCAAUAAAUUUAUCUACAUCUGUACCUUCGUGUUUCCUGUUAAAGUGGUGCAAGCUAUGGCUUGGAGGUAGGUGUUCAUAUGACCUGAGAUAUCAUGUGUUGCUGAGGAGGUGAGCCAUCGGUGUGAGUUUCAGGAAGAGAUGACAACACAAGUGAGCUUGAUUGGUAAGUUCACGCAAAAGAAAAUGUGGUUUGUGGUGUUUCCCAUACGCCCUCAAGGUUAUCAUCAUGGUGCCGAUGACGAUAACACACACACACAAGUGCAAUGGUACUUUUUGGUGAUCCUAUCAUGAUAUUUUGGCCUCUAAAAUGUGUAGUUCGGCCAUGACAUAUUCCUCUUUUCCUAGCGUUUAUCACUGGUGACCUGAAACACAAGAUUAUGUUGUGCAAGAUCAUACCAUGACUUAAUAACUUCCUCUUCAGUUAUGUCAUUCAUUCUCAUUGGCUCAGUCAAUUAUAAUUGUUUGCACAUCUUUCACCUACUCCGCAUUGCACAAAGAGGAUCAGGAAGUUUCAUAUGGUAAAUGAUUUUCUUAUGAUAUAGCACUCCUGAUAGAAGCUUGAUUGUUAAUACUUUCAGAAAACUGGAUCAGGCACAAUGUUAAAGGACUAUAAAUCUGAUGGUUCAGUUUCACAUGCAAUUGACUUUUGUAUUAUUUUUUCCUACUUAUGCACUAUAUGCUAUAUGACCUUGGUGUGUGUAGUUACAAAAUACAGGACGGUUUGGUCAAAGGUUCAGACCACAGCGACUGCAGGAGCAUGCAUCACCUCAUGCGCUCUCCCCACCUCUUCUACAUGCUGAUGACCGCUUGCCACAUCAAUGCUGAGGGGAGGGGGGCAUAUGAUCGGUGCAUCACAACACAAGUAAAAUGGAUGGCAGGCGUGUCUACAGAGAUAUCUAUGUAAUUUUCUACUAUAUAGUUUACAACAAUGUUGUGUAAAAACAGUGUACAUAAGUUAUCCAGAACCACCACUAUGGUGUCUUUUUGGUGUUGUACUGAACCUUGAUACUUUGGUAUCAUGCUACAAAUUUAUAUAAAAUGCAUCAAUGAUGUGUAAUAAAUCUUUA